AGAAAAAAGUCACUGGAUGUUGGAAAACGACUAUAAAGUGAAACAUCCCAUUAAGAAGAAGAAAAAGAGCAGCUUAAAACCAAGUGAAGUCCCUGAAGUGGUAUAGGCUGACAGCAUACAGAAGAGAAAGGGACAGCUCCUCCUAAGCCUGUUGAUCAAGGAUCGGAUGUCUAUUGGAAGUGAUAUUGGGAGUCAUUGUAAAUGAAGGAUGAGCUGAACUAAAUGUUAGCCAUUGAUCAGUAAAGAAAUCCUUCAGUCAUGACAAUAAGCACUGUUGACAGACUGCAUCCCAGUGAAGUGACUUUGGCACCUUAUGUUAUUCCCUCAUUGCGUGACUAUAAAAUGAAGCAUUGCUUCUGUCAGGUACUGAAAGCAGGAGAUAAAUGGUGUGUUAACUAAAAUGUCCAAUAUUCCAACCAUGUAUUUUUUAAGUGCAUUCCGAUAUACUUGUGUUUAUUUAUAGGUUAUGUGCAUUUCAGAAAAAAUAUGGUAUACAUCUAUUUUACUAAUUAC
Pelobates cultripes (western spadefoot toad) is the source of this 513-nucleotide non-coding RNA. Lineage: Eukaryota; Metazoa; Chordata; Amphibia; Anura; Pelobatidae. The record is from the annotation of a GenBank genome assembly.